This 228-nucleotide long non-coding RNA is filed under the name Capsella rubella. RNAcentral's name for it is "long non-coding RNA (CRUB_LNC002495)". The record is from RNAcentral. Lineage: Eukaryota; Viridiplantae; Streptophyta; Magnoliopsida; Brassicales; Brassicaceae.
UUUUUGUUAAAUUUGAAUUUUAUACUUGAUUUCCUAUCUAAAAACAAUUUGAUAUUCGGUUUUUUAUCUAUUAUAUAUACUAAAUGGAUGAAAAAAUAUAACUAAACCUAGAGAUAUAACUUUUGACCAAAAAAAAAAAAAACCUAGAGAUAUAAUUUAAAUUAAGAGGAAUAUAAAAAGAGUUUAAAAAUAAAAUUAUUUUUUGGGAAUUUUAAAGGUUUCACCCUC